GGGUUGUGAGGUUAAGCGACUAAGCGUACACGGUGGAUGCCCUGGCAGUCAGAGGCGAUGAAGGACGUGCUAAUCUGCGAUAAGCGUCGGUAAGGUGAUAUGAACCGUUAUAACCGGCGAUUUCCGAAUGGGGAAACCCAGUGUGWUUCGWCACACUAUCAUUAACUGAAUCCAUAGGUUAAUGAGGCGAACCGGGGGAACUGAAACAUCUAAGUACCCCGAGGAAAAGAAAUCAACCGAGAUUCCCCCAGUAGCGGCGAGCGAACGGGGAGSAGCCCAGAGCCUGAAUCAGUGUGUGUGUUAGUGGAAGCGUCUGGAAAGGCGCGCGAUACAGGGUGACAGCCCCGUACACAAAAAUGCACAURCUGUGAGCUCGAUGAGUAGGGCGGGACACGUGGUAUCCUGUCUGAAUAUGGGGGGACCAUCCUCCAAGGCUAAAUACUCCUGACUGACCGAUAGUGAACCAGUACCGUGAGGGAAAGGCGAAAAGAACCCCGGCGAGGGGAGUGAAAAAGAACCUGAAACCGUGUACGUACAAGCAGUGGGAGCACKCUUHGGCGUGUGACUGCGUACCUUUUGUAUAAUGGGUCAGCGACUUAUAUUCUGUAGCAAGGUUAACCGAAUAGGGGAGCCGAAGGGAAACCGAGUCUUAACUGGGCGUUAAGUUGCAGGGUAUAGACCCGAAACCCGGUGAUCUAGCCAUGGGCAGGUUGAAGGUUGGGUAACACUAACUGGAGGACCGAACCGACUAAUGUUGAAAAAUUAGCGGAUGACUUGUGGCUGGGGGUGAAAGGCCAAUCAAACCGGGAGAUAGCUGGUUCUCCCCGAAAGCUAUUUAGGUAGCGCCUCGUGAAUUCAUCUCCGGGGGUAGAGCACUGUUUCGGCAAGGGGGUCAUCCCGACUUACCAACCCGAUGCAAACUGCGAAUACCGGAGAAUGUUAUCACGGGAGACACACGGCGGGUGCUAACGUCCGUCGUGAAGAGGGAAACAACCCAGACCGCCAGCUAAGGUCCCAAAGUCAUGGUUAAGUGGGAAACGAUGUGGGAAGGCCCAGACAGCCAGGAUGUUGGCUUAGAAGCAGCCAUCAUUUAAAGAAAGCGUAAUAGCUCACUGGUCGAGUCGGCCUGCGCGGAAGAUGUAACGGGGCUAAACCAUGCACCGAAGCUGCGGCAGCGACGCUUAUGCGUUGUUGGGUAGGGGAGCGUUCUGUAAGCCUGCGAAGGUGUGCUGUGAGGCAUGCUGGAGGUAUCAGAAGUGCGAAUGCUGACAUAAGUAACGAUAAAGCGGGUGAAAAGCCCGCUCGCCGGAAGACCAAGGGUUCCUGUCCAACGUUAAUCGGGGCAGGGUGAGUCGACCCCUAAGGCGAGGCCGAAAGGCGUAGUCGAUGGGAAACAGGUUAAUAUUCCUGUACUUGGUGUUACUGCGAAGGGGGGACGGAGAAGGCUAUGUUGGCCGGGCGACGGUUGUCCCGGUUUAAGCGUGUAGGCUGGUUUUCCAGGCAAAUCCGGAAAAUCAAGGCUGAGGCGUGAUGACGAGGCACUACGGUGCUGAAGCAACAAAUGCCCUGCUUCCAGGAAAAGCCUCUAAGCAUCAGGUAACAUCAAAUCGUACCCCAAACCGACACAGGUGGUCAGGUAGAGAAUACCAAGGCGCUUGAGAGAACUCGGGUGAAGGAACUAGGCAAAAUGGUGCCGUAACUUCGGGAGAAGGCACGCUGAUAUGUAGGUGAAGYGAYUURCUCRUGGAGCUGAAAUCAGUCGAAGAUACCAGCUGGCUGCAACUGUUUAUUAAAAACACAGCACUGUGCAAACACGAAAGUGGACGUAUACGGUGUGACGCCUGCCCGGUGCCGGAAGGUUAAUUGAUGGGGUCAGCGCAAGCGAAGCUCUUGAUCGAAGCCCCGGUAAACGGCGGCCGUAACUAUAACGGUCCUAAGGUAGCGAAAUUCCUUGUCGGGUAAGUUCCGACCUGCACGAAUGGCGUAAUGAUGGCCAGGCUGUCUCCACCCGAGACUCAGUGAAAUUGAACUCGCUGUGAAGAUGCAGUGUACCCGCGGCAAGACGGAAAGACCCCGUGAACCUUUACUAUAGCUUGACACUGAACAUUGAGCCUUGAUGUGUAGGAUAGGUGGGAGGCUUWGAAGUGUGGACGCCAGUCUGCAUGGAGCCGACCUUGAAAUACCACCCUUUAAUGUUUGAUGUUCUAACGUUGACCCGUAAUCCGGGUUGCGGACAGUGUCUGGUGGGUAGUUUGACUGGGGCGGUCUCCUCCUAAAGAGUAACGGAGGAGCACGAAGGUUGGCUAAUCCUGGUCGGACAUCAGGAGGUUAGUGCAAUGGCAUAAGCCAGCUUGACUGCGAGCGUGACGGCGCGAGCAGGUGCGAAAGCAGGUCAUAGUGAUCCGGUGGUUCUGAAUGGAAGGGCCAUCGCUCAACGGAUAAAAGGUACUCCGGGGAUAACAGGCUGAUACCGCCCAAGAGUUCAUAUCGACGGCGGUGUUUGGCACCUCGAUGUCGGCUCAUCACAUCCUGGGGCUGAAGUAGGUCCCAAGGGUAUGGCUGUUCGCCAUUUAAAGUGGUACGCGAGCUGGGUUUAGAACGUCGUGAGACAGUUCGGUCCCUAUCUGCCGUGGGCGCUGGAGAACUGAGGGGGGCUGCUCCUAGUACGAGAGGACCGGAGUGGACGCAUCACUGGUGUUCGGGUUGUCAUGCCAAUGGCACUGCCCGGUAGCUAAAUGCGGAAGAGAUAAGUGCUGAAAGCAUCUAAGCACGAAACUUGCCCCGAGAUGAGUUCUCCCUGACCCUUUAAGGGUCCUGAAGGAACGUUGAAGACGACGACGUUGAUAGGCCGGGUGUGUAAGCGCAGCGAUGCGUUGAGCUAACCGGUACUAAUGAACCGUGAGGCUUAACCUUACAACGCCGAAG
RNAcentral lists this ribosomal RNA (2925 nucleotides) under Escherichia coli. RNAcentral's name for it is "partial 23S ribosomal RNA". It matches the Rfam family "Bacterial large subunit ribosomal RNA". The record is from RNAcentral. Lineage: Bacteria; Pseudomonadati; Pseudomonadota; Gammaproteobacteria; Enterobacterales; Enterobacteriaceae.